AUUUCACACCUGGAUGUGCUCACUCAACCAAGAAUAUAGAGAAAGAGCUUCUGCCCUGAGACUCAGAAAAAUAUUCUCCUGUGCUUCGGUUCAGUAUAGAUUUCUAGACCCUGAUCAUUGCUUAAGAGAUACUCACUAAGGACGGUCUUGCUCUUUUGCUGAGGCUGCAGUGCAGUGGUGUGAUCUUAGCUCACUACAACCUCUGCCUCCUGGGUUCAAGUGAUUCUCCUGCCUCAGCCUCCCAAGCAGCUGGGAUUGCAGGCGUACACCACCAUGCCUGGUGAAAUUUUGAGUAGAGAUGGGGUUUUACUAUGUUGGCAAGGCUGGUCUCGAACUCCUGACCUCACUCACCUUGGCCUCCCAAAGUGCUGGGAUUACAAGUGUGAGCCACAGCACCCAGCCUUACUCUGAACUUUCAGUGAGUUCAAUUCCACUAAAAGCAUAAACACCACUGCAGAUGAGUUAUGGAAAGAAGAGAUUAGAGGAAGAAGGAAGAACUUGAGAUGGGUUCCUCCCUUCAACAUUUCUAGCAUCUUCUUCCUUUUAGUCUUUCUAGAAUGUCCAUCUGUUUCUGGCCAUUAUAGAAAGAGAAGCUGAGUUUUAGAGUUAGGAGCUUCAAAAUUCUUCAUCUUUGUUCACCCUUCUAACCCUGUCUUCUGUUUCUUCUGCUAUUCUUUUUUCUUAGAGCAUAGGAAAGGGGAGCUUUUAAAUGAAACUUAAAGUGUGGAAAAAAAGAACUUCAGAAGAAAAUGAAACAAGAGAGAUGAGGCUAGUAAAGUAAGGAAAAUGGAGAUGAUGAUGAGGAGGAAGGGUUAGCUCCUAAAUUCCAAGUUAAGAGGAAACUGUCUCAAAUUGAUAUGAAGCAGGCAAGGCCUCUUGACUUACCUAAACUUCAGAAAAGGAUCCACUGAAAUUUGAUAGAAAUGGAAAAGGAAGUCCUUGGGGUGGAGAACCUCCAAACAUUAGUAAUGAUUUUGAACAAUUCAAAGUACUCAGGCAAUCUGCAGGCAACAUGCCUGUAGAUCACCCAUGCAGAAAGAUGAAAAGGGUUAGAAUUAUUUGUUGAUAUUAGUAAUAUUUCUUGACAUCUAGCUAGAAUUGGUAAUUUUAAGUUUUAGAUUAAUUUCUUUGGUGAUACCUAUGAUGUAUUUUAUAGAUAAGAAUUAUAUCCAUAGGCUUGCUAUCAUAGGCUCUAUUUUAAUUAGCAUUAAUUUAGUCUACUGUUUUUUUAAGCACAUUUGAAACAUUCACUUAUCCUAGAAAAGUCAUUGCCAAAUAAAAAGAUGAUUCCUGUAUGUAUAAAAGCUAUACAUUAAGGAGGAGUGUCCCAAAUAUGAAAAAAGUCAAUUAACCUAAAUAUUGCUGAGACAGAAGGAAAAUCCACUCCCUUGGAGGAGCAUGACCUUUUUGUGUUGCUUCCUUGAGGUCCUUGGACCCUGCCUCCUGGACACCAUCAUCAAGAAGACUUUAUGGAUGGGCCAUCCACUCCCUGAGAGAAGAGGAGCAUCAGCUGCAGUUUCUCUCUAGAUUGCCUUCUUCAUUUUGAGUAAUGACUGUCAGAAGGGUCAGAUUAAAGACAAAACAACGGGACAACUGCUUGGAGGACUAAAUUAUAAAGGCACUAACAUGUCAGUAGUAUGAUUUAUCAGCCCUUCUCUCAAGGGAAGAAUCCAUGUGAGGUUGGAAGGAAUGGUUUGUUAAAUUCCUUAGGGGUGGAAAGCAGGUCAUAAUCAGAAUAUAUAGGAAUAUGCUGUUUGACUGCAGGGUUUCUGUUUUUUUUUUUUUUUAACUAGGAUACAUAAAACAGGGACUGUAGCUAGAUUGUUUAUGACCCCAGAAGGUAGGCUGAGCACCCCUAUGAUCCUCUUGCUCAGUUCUUACUCAUUCAGACCCUCAGUCUUUCCUCUAAUAAAGAUUGAACAAGUAGUGGUUUGAGGGAGACACCAGUUCAUUAGCCUACAUGUCUCUUCUCUGCACUCUAGGGCUUCGAUAAUAAAGACACUGGCAGGCUAUCUGUCUUCCACUUCUAUAAUGUGAGCCCUUAAGCAGUCUUCGUUCAGUUGCGGGUGAGGGUCAUUGCUCAUAGAGCAGUUCAAGUCUUUACCUACAGACCUGGUGGUCAGACUCUGUGUUGAGUUCAUUAGAUUACUGGAGAUACAAGGUAGAGCUGGGCCCUUCAAAAAUACUUGGCUAAAGGAUGACAUUGCUGGUUAUUUGUAGAUAAAGCCAUCAUGGAACAUGCCUGGAAUCACGAAAUAUGGAACCAGUAGUCAUGUUUAAUAAUGCAACUAAUAGUUAAGUGCCUACUGGACACUGAAGAGAUUUAGGGGAAAUAUAGAUAUGGUUCCUGCCCUCAUGGAGUUUACACCGUAGUUUUCCCUUAGGUAUGAAGAACAGUGGCUACAGCUAACAAAUGGCUACAAAGAUAUUCUUGAGCCAAUGUUCCAAUUAUUAGGGUAAUUCCUGUUUCCUUAAUCAUGCCUAUUAACCAUGUUCUAUAAGCCUGCAUUCUAUAAAUGGCCUAUGAGCAUGGGCUGUUUCCCCCCAGCAAGUUGUGUAAAGUCCUGUGGUACCAGGGAAAGGGCUUAAGAUUAGCAGGACCUCUGGGGAAGGACAUAGGAAGUGACUUGGGUCAGGAAACAGGAAGGGAUAGGAUUCAAUAACCAGCUAUUGCUUUUGUUCUAUAUAGGAAACUGCAAUGUGAAAAAUGCUGGGCUGAGAAUUUUGAGAUCUGGGUUUUAGUUUGUGUUCUAACACUAACAAGCUGUGUGACUGUGGGUAAGACAUUGCACAUUCCACUUGGAUGCUCCUCGAGUCUCUCCAAACCCUUCCUACUCUAAAACAUUAAGAUCAGGCCCUAGGCUACAGCUGGCCAGUUUGUAAUUUUCCUGUUUCUAUGCUGUUAGGCCAAAUAAAUCUUCAAUAGUUACUUGAUUAUUACUUUUUUUCUGAAGUGGGUGUUUUGUCAAUGUUUUAGGAUACAGUGAGUCUGCUUCUCCCCUUUGAAGUUAGGAAGGUUGUAGCAAUAUAUACUAGAACAUAUGGAAGCUUUAUUUCCAUUUUUCCUGCCCCCCGUCUUUCUCACUCUCCUUCCCUUCCUCAUAUUUCUAUUGAACAUAUGCCAUUGCCACGUACCAGUUAUGUGCUAGGUUUGGAGAUACAAGAUAAACGUGACACUUUCCCAGACUUCAGGAGACAAAACCCUCCUUUUUUUCAUCUGCUGGCUUUCUCUUUGGAAAUAAUCAGUGAUGUCCCAGGGGAGUGUGCCCAUGUCCCAGGGUAACCAACUACAGAGAGAUGCCCCAUUCUACUCAAGCAACUUUAGAGUACCUUGAGAUUCACAUCAGAUAAUUUCAGGGCUGGGCAUGGUGGUGCACACCUGUAAUUGCAGCACUUUGGGAGCCCGAGGCAGCAGAUUUCUUGAGCUUAGGAGCUCAAGACCCACUUGGGCGACAUGGCAAAACACCAGCUCUGCAAAAAAAAAAUACAAAAAUUAGCUGUAGUUGGUGGCCUGUGACUAUAGUACAAGCUACUCAGGAGGCUGAGGUGGGAGGAUUGCUUGAGCCUGUGAAGUUGAGGCUGCAGUGAGCUGAGAUCAUGCCAUUGCACCAUUGAACUCCAGCCUGGAUGACACAGGGAGACUCUAUCCCAGAAAAAAAAAAAAAUCAUCAUCAUUCUAUCCUAGAGUCAUUGUGAAAAGAUCUAUCUUCAGAUAUAAGGAAGAAAUACUCUUUUAUUUCUUAGGAUAAAUCUGUAGAAGGACAGUCCUCCAAACAGUGAAGGCCCUGACUACUUUAUACUCUGUAACCCAUCCCUUCCCUGGUAGGGAGGACUACUUCUUAAACUUACAAGGUACCUCUCGGCAAAUAGACAUUUUCAUAUAUACUGUGUUUCAUAUAUCCCUAUGUCUGAUGACCACUUUAAAAAGGAAAGGAAAAAGCCUAAUCAGACAAAAAGAUGUUGCUAUUCUUACCCUAUUGUGAAUCCUAUAUAAGCAAAUUCAUUUCUUUGUUUUUUCCGAUAUUAGCAGAUCUAUUUGAUGUAUAUCUCUGAGUGCAGAAAAUAUUUUACAGAAAGAUAAAUCUAUGGAAUUUCAAAUUCAGCAUUGUUGAUACAUACUAUUUGGUUUGAGAAUUUUGUCCUGGGAAAUAGUAUUAGGGAUUUCAAUUUCUGGCUUCAAUGGUAGAAUUAGUUACUCUUAACUCUCGAUUUUACCUCUGAGUUGAGGUCAAGGAACAGGCAGAUACCUCCAGUUAAUGUCUAUAUCUCUCCAUGACCAAGAGCUUUAAUUUUCUUGUCUUCAUUUUUGCAGAUGUACAUCAUUACUAAAUGGAUUGAUUAGUAUUUUAUCUUCUCUCCUUGUCCUUACUUUCCCUCUGGUAAAUAUGUUAUAAACAGUGUAAGGCUCAUAAGAUAGAAUCGCUGGUAGGACUUAGAAGAGAAACAAAGGGCAUUGAUAACUCACACAAAUGGAAAAUGGACCCUGAAAUAACUGACAACAUAUUCAAGUAUUUUGGUGCAGUCUCAUGCCCAUUAAGAAGAAGUGACUCAGUAAAUCUAUAUGACCCUAAACAUUCUAAUGAAAAGGGGAACAUUCUGUCAAUCAACUCAUAUUUCUAAAUAUCUUGAUAUUGGCCAUUGUAAAGACAAACAUGCAGAUGACGGACUUGUCUUUCUACUUUUCAUUUGCAUGGUCUGGAUCCUUGUACCUCCAGCCAUUGACUCUAAGGCAAUUUACAUUUGUUUCCUCUUCCCUCUUGAGAGAAAACAAAAAUCUCAUUUUUCCAAGCAAUUAAAACUCUUCUGCUUCAGCUAGGAUGAAAGAAUUUGGAGUUCUGUCUCCUUGUAUAUAAUUGCAUGUUUCAUCUUCCUUGUUUUAUGAUUGACAGAAAACUGAUAAACUGAGACA
Saimiri boliviensis boliviensis (Bolivian squirrel monkey) is the source of this 4909-nucleotide non-coding RNA. NCBI's taxonomy places the organism in Eukaryota, Metazoa, Chordata, Mammalia, Primates, Cebidae. The record is from RefSeq and is a predicted model, not a curated record.